GACCUAGGAUGUCAACGUGAUUUCAUAAGGUUUAUGAGUCAAGGAGAGAUGGAAGGCAGGAACCCUUCAGGCAAACACACAAGGGGUUGGGAAUAUGAAGCUUAUACAAGAACCCCUAGCCAUUCAGUCCCCUUGCCUGUCAGAGUGUGUGAAUAUCAGCAGAAUGCAACAUCAUGGGAAAGGCAUGUUGGCUGAAGAAGCAUUGGAAAAUUUGUAGUGUUCCCUCUCAAGGGAGAUAAGAUGGUUGGAAGAGAAUGGGAGCCCAGGUCGUGGCACCAGAAGCGUCAGUCUCUGAAUGGAUACUGAACAUUCAGAACAUCCUUCAGAACAUUCUCCUUCUCUCAGAUCUUGGAUACCUGUUCCAGGCCCUUGAUUCCCAUUCCUUGAAAGCCCUGAAUCACAGCCCAUCACUAGGCUAAUCAGGAGGAGCUGAUGCUAACCUACGCCACAGCCAUCUCUGUCUAUGGACACCCCUUGAUCUCACGUAAAGCUGAUGAUGAAAGUGCAGUCCAUUCCUCUAUCAAAACAUGAAUAUUUACUCUGUACCUGCCUGUCUCGUUUGCUGCCAGAGCUCAAAGCAGAAGUGAGGAAAUGCCGAAAGAGAGACAAUUUGCCUAAGGUUGCCAAUACAAAAGCAAGCCAGAGGUGCUGGCAAGCUACCAAGGAAGGCUGCUCUCAAGAGCGUCUGGCUGGAAUUUUGCAGAUGCAAGAGCUUUAAAUAAACACCUAAACUCUUGCACGCUUACUGAGACUGAACCUCUGAAUCUGUCACACACCAGGAGCUCUAACGGAGGAGAAUAAAAAAGACUAAGAGAACUCACAAAUAAAAAUUAUGUUUAACUGUAAAUGCCCCCUUUGCUCCUAGUGGCUUCCUGCAGGAGGAUAGACAGUAUUUUGAAUAGAUCAAUCAAAACCAUCAGCAAAUAUAGAUGACAUCCAAAACAAAAUAAAUAGCAUGUGAUGUCCCUUAAUGGACACAUAUCUAACAACAAAAUGCAGUAGAUUUGUGUGUUGCAGCAUGUCUUGGAAUAUAAAUGUGCUUUCUAAGGAAUGUAUUUCUAUUUGGUUUCCAUGAAUAUUUGAUGUACACAUAUUCCUGUAUUUUUAAUUUGUCUGCUGCAUAAGCAGAUGGCUUACAGUGUAAAAACAUGGAACUUAUUAAAACAUCUGAAUCCCAGGCCAUUUGGUUUAUCUUGAAUACCAAAUUGAGUAUUGGGAUGAUUUAAAUUAAAGUGCAUAAUUCUUGCCACCUUGAUUAGAUGCUUAAUUUCUGCACUCAGAUUAACUAAUGAAAUAAAAAAUCAUGGAUGGGUUCAGAAAUAAGGCAUGAUAGGGCCUUUUAAAAAUAAUUUAUUC
Non-coding RNA from Oryctolagus cuniculus (rabbit), 1356 nucleotides. The record is from RefSeq and is a predicted model, not a curated record. Lineage: Eukaryota; Metazoa; Chordata; Mammalia; Lagomorpha; Leporidae.